This 886-nucleotide ribosomal RNA is filed under the name uncultured bacterium. Its description in RNAcentral is "bacterial SSU rRNA". It matches the Rfam family "Bacterial small subunit ribosomal RNA", at positions 28 to 817 of the family's 1533-position model. The record is from RNAcentral.
GAUGAACGCUGGCGGCGUGCUUAACACAUGCAAGUCGAGCGGGCAAUUUAUCUAGCACUGAUUACUUCAAAUGGCUAUCGCCAGUGUAAUCAUGAAUUUCUACCUUUAAUAAAGAAAAAAGAAAUUCAUGUACGCAAAUAGUGAUAACACAUUUUAGUGGAGUGAUGAGUGCUGGAUAAAUUGCUAGCGGCGGACGGGUGCGUAACACGUGGGUAACCUGCCCCUAUCACUGGGAUAACACACUGAAAAGUGUGCUAAUACCAGAUAACAUAAGCUUUUGGCAUCAUUAGCUUAUCAAAGAAUUUCGGAUAGGGAUGGGCCCGCGUCUGAUUAGCUUGUUGGUGAGGUAACGGCUCACCAAGGCAACGAUCAGUAGCCGACCUGAGAGGGUGAUCGGCCACACUGGAACUGAGACACGGUCCAGACUCCUACGGGAGGCAGCAGUGGGGAAUAUUGCACAAUGGGCGAAAGCCUGAUGCAGCAACGCCGCGUGAGCGAUGAAGGCCUUCGGGUCGUAAAGCUCUGUCCUAUGGGAAGAUAAUGACGGUACCAUAGGAGGAAGCCCCGGCUAACUACGUGCCAGCAGCCGCGGUAAUACGUAGGGGGCAAGCGUUAUCCGGAAUUACUGGGCGUAAAGGGUGCGUAGGCGGUUUAUCAAGUCAGGGGUGAAAGGCUACGGCUCAACCGUAGUGAGCCUCUGAAACUGGUGAACUUGAGUGUAGGAGAGGAAAGUGGAAUUCCCAGUGUAGCGGUGAAAUGCGUAGAUAUUGGGAGGAACACCAGUGGCGAAAGCGACUUUCUGGACUACAACUGACGCUGAGCACGAAAGCGUGGGGAGCAAACAGGAUUAGAUACCCUGUAGUCCACGCUGUAAACGAUGAGUACU